AAAAACAUGUCUUUUUGAGAAUGAAAUUUAAAGUCGGGCCUGCCCACUGAAAAUGUUUGAAGGGCCGCGGUAUUUUGACCGUGCAAAGGUAGCAUAAUCAUUAGUCUUUUAAUUGAAGGCUGGAAUGAAUGGUUUGACGAGGUAUUAGCUGUCUCUUUAUAAAAUGUGGAAUUUAACUUUUGAGUUAAAAGGCUUAAAUGACAAUAGAGGACGAGAAGACCCUAUAGAGUUUUAUAUAGAUUUAUAGAUAAAUUUAUUUAGAGGUUGGAAUUUUUAUUUAUUUACUAUAUUAUGUUGGGGUGACAUAAAGAUAUAAGAAACUCUUUAUUAUUAAGUACAUAGGUUUAUGGAUAAUUGAUCCAUUAUUAGUGAUUAUAAGAUAAAAUUACCUUAGGGAUAACAGCGUAAUUUUUCUUAAGAGUUCAUAUCGAAAGAAAAGUUUGCGACCUCGAUGUUGGAUUAAGAUAAUGGUUAGGUGUAGCAGUUUAACUAAUAAGUCUGUUCGACUUUUAAAAUCUUACGU
This 523-nucleotide ribosomal RNA is filed under the name Phlesirtes sp. SK-2016l. Its description in RNAcentral is "partial 16S ribosomal RNA". It matches the Rfam family "Bacterial large subunit ribosomal RNA", at positions 1811 to 2601 of the family's 2925-position model. The record is from RNAcentral. Lineage: Eukaryota; Metazoa; Arthropoda; Insecta; Orthoptera; Tettigoniidae.